RNAcentral lists this ribosomal RNA (253 nucleotides) under uncultured bacterium. RNAcentral's name for it is "partial 16S ribosomal RNA". It matches the Rfam family "Bacterial small subunit ribosomal RNA", at positions 524 to 776 of the family's 1533-position model. The record is from RNAcentral.
UACGAAGGGGGCUAGCGUUGUUCGGAAUUACUGGGCGUAAAGCGCACGUAGGCGGAUUUGUAAGUCAGGGGUGAAAUCCCGGGGCUCAACCUCGGAACUGCCUUUGAUACUGCAAGUCUCGAGUCCGAUAGAGGUGAGUGGAAUUCCUAGUGUAGAGGUGAAAUUCGUAGAUAUUAGGAAGAACACCAGUGGCGAAGGCGGCUCACUGGAUCGGUACUGACGCUGAGACGCGAAAGCGUGGGGAGCGAACAGG